RNAcentral lists this long non-coding RNA (1180 nucleotides) under Gallus gallus (chicken). Lineage: Eukaryota; Metazoa; Chordata; Aves; Galliformes; Phasianidae. The record is from RNAcentral.
CUGAGGGGCUGAUGUGCUCAGGUGCUUCAUGCUGAGCUUUCGCCUUCCUCUCUAGGGCUGCUGAUGCUGCGGCCCCAGUCCUCCAAAAGCGUAAAACGAAGCCCAUAACGCGGGGCUGGUGGGGAAAACCAGUGCUAUGUCAGUGAGGAAACGGGUUGGGGUUGGCGGGCGGCCUUCUGUGGGGGUGGAGUGCAUCCCUCAGGGGUUGGGGCUGGGAGGGUUGGCCCAGCCUUUAUCGAUGCUGCCCUCGUUCUCGUUCCUGCUGUAGAUCCACUUCAUUUAAAAGACUCGCUGACAGAAUUCCUGCUUUUAAAUGCCGUUUUUAGUCGUAUUGUUACACUUUUUCUUAUAUCUCAGCGCUUUUAAUUCUCUAAAGCGGCCUUGAAGCAGUACCACGCUGAUACAAGGGCUAUGGCACUGUGGCCUUACAGCUCUGACAACACUUAAAGAACCUCCAAGAAAGACAGCUUGGCUCUUCAGGUUUUGGCACCUAGCCUGAUUGACCUCUUCCUAUUGCAAUGUCUGAACGAUUCCCCAAGUUUUGUUCUGAGAUGGAUGCAGGAUUUUAGCACCAGCGCCUCAGGAGCCUCCACAGAAUGCACUUCCAUUGCUUCGGAGGGUCUCAGGUUCAGCUACUCCAUUACAGCCUUAGGCUACAUUCCUCAUCAAAGACAGAGAGACCCUGUUGACAUUUUCCUGGUGAGUAAAUCAGUCAUGAGAGCAACAUAUUUCUUUUCUAAGAAACAUUUGGAAAGCCAUCUAUUAGAAAUUAGGACUCCUGGGUUUCCCAGAGCUCAGCACAUUCUUGAAACAAAGGUGCUCAGACUCAUUCCUGCUUUUCCCCCUCCCUGCCUAGCAAACCCUGUGUGCAGCUGUCUCUUCAUACGUCUCCUGUCCACCAGCAUCCUCUUCCCCAUUGAGUGCUGUAGGAGCACUGUGGUGAGCAGGGGCAGAAGGACCACUCACCCUGUUCCUGCACAUCCGCUUGUGUACCCCACUCUCUGUAGCAGAGCAGUGACCAGCUGGUCUAUCCUAGCUGCAGAUAGCUUCUCUUUUACAAAGUAUGACUGAGGCGGUGCAGUAAUUGUAUGCAAAUCCAUGUGCAGAUUAAAAAAUUAAUCAAAUUCUGAAAUUUUCAUUUGAAGAGAUUAGUCUUGAAAAAUCCCCCAUCUAAUCCUCC